RNAcentral lists this ribosomal RNA (1050 nucleotides) under Enterococcus durans. RNAcentral describes it as "bacterial SSU rRNA". The record is from RNAcentral. Lineage: Bacteria; Bacillati; Bacillota; Bacilli; Lactobacillales; Enterococcaceae.
AAACGACGAGUUUGAUCCUGGCUCAGGACGAACGCUGGCGGCGUGCCUAAUACAUGCAAGUCGUACGCUUCUUUUUCCACCGGAGCUUGCUCCACCGGAAAAAGAAGAGUGGCGAACGGGUGAGUAACACGUGGGUAACCUGCCCAUCAGAAGGGGAUAACACUUGGAAACAGGUGGUAAUACCGUAUAACAAUCGAAACCGCAUGGUUUUGAUUUGAAAGGCGCUUUCGGGUGUCGCUGAUGGAUGGACCCGCGGUGCAUUAGCUAGUUGGUGAGGUAACGGCUCACCAAGGCYACGAUGCAUAGCCGACCUGAGAGGGUGAUCGGCCACAUUGGGACUGAGACACGGCCCAAACUCCUACGGGAGGCAGCAGUAGGGAAUCUUCGGCAAUGGACGAAAGUCUGACCGAGCAACGCCGCGUGAGUGAAGAAGGUUUUCGGAUCGUAAAACUCUGUUGUUAGAGAAGAACAAGGAUGAGAGUAACUGUUCAUCCCUUGACGGUAUCUAACCAGAAAGCCACGGCUAACUACGUGCCAGCAGCCGCGGUAAUACGUAGGUGGCAAGCGUUGUCCGGAUUUAUUGGGCGUAAAGCGAGCGCAGGCGGUUUCUUAAGUCUGAUGUGAAAGCCCCCGGCUCAACCGGGGAGGGUCAUUGGAAACUGGGAGACUUGAGUGCAGAAGAGGAGAGUGGAAUUCCAUGUGUAGCGGUGAAAUGCGUAGAUAUAUGGAGGAACACCAGUGGCGAAGGCGGCUCUCUGGUCUGUAACUGACGCUGAGGCUCGAAAGCGUGGGGAGCAAACAUGAUUAGAUACCCUGGUAGUCCACGCCGUAAACGAAGAGUGCUAAGUGUUGGAGGGUUUCCGCCCUUCAGUGCUGCAGCUAACGCAUUAAGCACUCCGCCUGGGGAGUACGACCGCAAGGUUGAAACUCAGAGGAAUUGACGGGGGCCCGCACAAGCGGUGGAGCAUGUGGUUUAAUUCGAAGCAACGCGAAGAACCUUACCAGGUCUUGACAUCCUUUGACCACUCUAGAGAUAGAGCUUCCCCUUCG